AGUGAACGCUGGCGGUAGGCCUAACACAUGCAAGUCGAACGGCAGCACAGUAAGAGCUUGCUCUUACGGGUGGCGAGUGGCGGACGGGUGAGGAAUACAUCGGAAUCUACUUUUUCGUGGGGGAUAACGUAGGGAAACUUACGCUAAUACCGCAUACGACCUACGGGUGAAAGCAGGGGAUCUUCGGACCUUGCGCGAUUGAAUGAGCCGAUGUCGGAUUAGCUAGUUGGCGGGGUAAAGGCCCACCAAGGCGACGAUCCGUAGCUGGUCUGAGAGGAUGAUCAGCCCCACUGGAAGUGAGACACGGUCCAGACUCCUACGGGAGGCAGCAGUGGGGAAGAUUGGACAAUGGGCGCAAGCCUGAUCCAGCCAUACCGCGUGGGUGAAGAAGGCCUUCGGGUUGUAAAGCCCUUUUGUUGGGAAAGAAAAGCAGCAGGUUAAUACCCCGCUGUUCUGACGGUACCCAAAGAAUAAGCACCGGCUAACUUCGUG
Molecule: ribosomal RNA, 492 nt
Filed under: uncultured bacterium
Lineage: Bacteria
Description: partial 16S ribosomal RNA
Rfam family: Bacterial small subunit ribosomal RNA
Source: RNAcentral